UACGGAGGGUGCAAACGUUGCCCGGAAUCAUUGGGCGUAAAGCGCACGUAGGCGGCCUGAUAAGUCGGGUGUGAAAGCCCUGGGCUCAACCCAGGAAGUGCACUCGAAACUGUCAGGCUUGAAUAUGGAAGAGGGUCGCGGAAUUCCCGGUGUAGAGGUGAAAUUCGUAGAUAUCGGGAGGAACACCAGUGGCGAAGGCGGCGACCUGGGCCAAUAUUGACGCUGAGGUGCGAAAGCGUGGGGAGCAAACAGG
This 253-nucleotide ribosomal RNA is filed under the name uncultured bacterium. RNAcentral describes it as "partial 16S ribosomal RNA". It matches the Rfam family "Bacterial small subunit ribosomal RNA", at positions 524 to 776 of the family's 1533-position model. The record is from RNAcentral.